This 253-nucleotide ribosomal RNA is filed under the name uncultured prokaryote. RNAcentral describes it as "partial 16S ribosomal RNA". It matches the Rfam family "Bacterial small subunit ribosomal RNA", at positions 524 to 776 of the family's 1533-position model. The record is from RNAcentral.
UACAGAGGGUGCGAGCGUUAAUCGGAAUUACUGGGCGUAAAGGGCGCGUAGGCGGCUAGAUAAGUGAGGUGUGAAAGGCUUGGGCUUAACCUGGGCACUGCACUUUAGACUGUAUAGCUGGAGUAUGGUAGAGGAAGGCGGAAUUUCCGGUGUAGCGGUGAAAUGCGUAGAUAUCGGAAAGAACACCAAAGGCGAAAGCGCUCUGCUGGGCCGAAACUGACACUGAGAGACGAAAGCUAGGGGAGCGAAUGGG